This 76-nucleotide microRNA precursor is filed under the name Poecilia formosa (Amazon molly). Its description in RNAcentral is "miRNA (ENSPFOG00000021167.1)". Lineage: Eukaryota; Metazoa; Chordata; Actinopteri; Cyprinodontiformes; Poeciliidae. The record is from RNAcentral.
GGUUCUGGUCCAGGUCCAGGUCCAGGUCCAGGUCCUGGUCCUGGUCCUGGUCCUGGUCGUGGUCCUGGUCGUGGUC